RNAcentral lists this ribosomal RNA (344 nucleotides) under uncultured Syntrophorhabdus sp. RNAcentral describes it as "bacterial SSU rRNA". It matches the Rfam family "Bacterial small subunit ribosomal RNA", at positions 1037 to 1382 of the family's 1533-position model. The record is from RNAcentral. Lineage: Bacteria; Pseudomonadati; Thermodesulfobacteriota; Syntrophorhabdia; Syntrophorhabdales; Syntrophorhabdaceae.
GGUGCUGCAUGGCUGUCGUCAGCUCGUGCCGUGAGGUGUUGGGUUAAGUCCCGCAACGAGCGCAACCCUCACCCUUAGUUGCCAUCAUUAAGUUGGGCACCCUAAGGGAACUGCCGCAGUUAAUGCGGAGGAAGGUGGGGAUGACGUCAAGUCCUCAUGGCCCUUAUAUCCAGGGCUACACACGUGCUACAAUGGACGGUACAAAGGGUCGCGAACCUGCAAAGGGGAGCUAACCCCAGAAAACCGCUCUCAGUUCGGAUUGGAGUCUGCAACCCGACUCCAUGAAGUUGGAAUCGCUAGUAAUCGCGGAUCAGAACGCCGCGGUGAAUACGUUCCCGGGCCUU